UGACCUCAAAUCAGGUAGGACUACCCGCUGAACUUAAGCAUAUCAAUAAGCGGAGGAAAAGAAACUAACAAGGAUUCCCCUAGUAACUGCGAGUGAAGCGGGAAAAGCUCAAAUUUAAAAUCUGUCAGUCUUUGGCUGUCCGAGUUGUAAUCUAGAGAAGUGUUAUCUGCGUUGGACCGUGUACAAGUCUCCUGGGAUGGAGCGUCAUAGAGGGUGAGAAUCCCGUCUUUGACACGGACUACCAAGGCUUUGUGAUGCGCUCUCAAAGAGUCGAGUUGUUUGGGAAUGCAGCUCAAAAUGGGUGGUAAAUUCCAUCUAAAGCUAAAUAUUGGCGAGAGACCGAUAGCGAACAAGUACCGUGAGGGAAAGAUGAAAAGAACUUUGGAAAGAGAGUUAAACAGUACGUGAAAUUGCUGAAAGGGAAACGCUUGAAGUCAGUCGCGUUGUCCAGGGAUCAACCUUGCUUUUGCUUGGUGUACUUUCUGGUUAACGGGUCAACAUCAAUUUUGAUCAUUGGAAAAAAGUUAAGGGAAUGUGGCAUCUUUGGAUGUGUUAUAGCCUUUGAUUGUAUACAAUGGUUGGGAUUGAGGAACUCAGCA
This 599-nucleotide ribosomal RNA is filed under the name Cortinarius anomalovelatus. RNAcentral describes it as "eukaryotic LSU rRNA". It matches the Rfam family "Eukaryotic large subunit ribosomal RNA", at positions 1 to 600 of the family's 3401-position model. The record is from RNAcentral. Lineage: Eukaryota; Fungi; Basidiomycota; Agaricomycetes; Agaricales; Cortinariaceae.